Long non-coding RNA from Sinocyclocheilus grahami, 809 nucleotides. RefSeq lists it as uncharacterized. The transcript has 2 exons. The record is from RefSeq and is a predicted model, not a curated record. Lineage: Eukaryota; Metazoa; Chordata; Actinopteri; Cypriniformes; Cyprinidae.
GACGACUCUUUCAGACGAAUCCAGUCGGGGUUACAUUAAAACUGGUCCUGCUCUUCUAAACUCAAUCAUUGCAUUAGGCAGGUGUUUCUGUUCAACAGUCCAAAACACAUUAAAUAAAGUGCGCGCAUCUGUAAUAAAACAUGCCUCACACGGCUCCGGGGCGUGAAUAAAGACCUGCAGCAAAUCCAUGCGUUUUUACAAGAAAAAUAUCCAUAUUUCAAAUGUAAUAAACUCUUUUCUCUCACUUCUGCGGUCUAUGCAGAAGCGUUCCGGCGGAUGACUACAGAUUAUAGAAAUCAAAUUACACCAACUUAAACGUCACCAAAGAAACAUGUAGCUAUGUGAUAACAACAAUGAGAAGGUAACCAGUAACAGCAGGGUUUUAGGAUUCAAUCGCACAAGAUGCAAAGACGCCAGAGCAGUUUCUGUAUUUGCAAUUUCCAACUUUAAUUUGGUAAAAUCAUACAAUAAACACAUUUUAUUUUUCGUGAAGUGCACAGCCUCUAAACUAGUACAUAAAGCAAAUACUCUAACUCUAAGGGCUCCGGUGAUGUUCUUUCACAUGAUCUGGUCAAUUAAAAGCCUCUCACUUCAUGCUUUCAACACUCCACUCAUAACUGCUUCUGUAAUUAAGACCGAAUGUUCAGCCAAACCUGUCAGAGAACACCAGCGCCAGAGCCCAAUAUGCAAAUGCAACAAUAGAGAAUAACCACAUGUUUUUGUUACUUAAGAUUGCCGUGUGCCAGACAUUCACUGGGGGUACAAAUGAAAAUAAAAUCUAUAUUGGAAAAAAAACCAAACCAAAACAA